GAUUACAACGCAUGCGCGUCAUCUGAUUAGCUGCGUGGUCAGUGGCAGUCAGUGGGAUUGUCAGUCAGUAUGCGAUGCUCAGUGGUUCAGUUCUGUUGCGGUUGUGCUGCUGUUAUCGUCGGUAAGCGCUGGUGGCAAUCUCUUGACUAAUUUUUGCUUGUUUUAAGAAUUUUGCACCUGAGUCUGACACCGUGGAAGGACCAUUCUUGCAUCAGAUUGAAUUUUGCAUCUGAGUCUGACAUCGUAGAAGGACCAUUCUUGCAUCAGAUUCUAAAGAUUUUGCACCUGAGUCUGACAUCGUAGAAGGACCAUUUUUGCAUCAGAUUAGAUUUUGCACCGGAGUCUGACAUCCUAGAAGGACCAUUCAUCAUUUUUGAUUAUAAUUUGUGGGUUACCUCUUGGGAAGCCUACGAAAAUGCCCUUUUUGUGUUUGUCAAUCCUCUAAUUUUUGUGUUUUAGGUGUCUAGCGGGCGAACGUGAUGUCGUAGGACCACGUGUUUUUUCACCAAAUUGUAGGUACUAACAUUUUUAUCAUUUUUGUAUAUAACUUAUGGGUUUAUCUCUUGGGAAACCUACGAAAAUGCCCUUUUUGUGUUCUUCGUUGUCUAAUUUUUGCUGUUUUAGGGGUCUAGCGGCCGAACCUGAUGUCGUAGGACAACGUUUCUUUCACCAAAUUGUUGGUACUAAUAUUCUCUAUCAUCUUCGUAUAUAACUUGUGGGUUUGUCUCUUGGGAAACCUACGAAAAUAAUUUUUUUUGUGUUUUUUGUUGUCUAAUUUUUGCAGUUUUAGGUGUCUAGCGGCCGAACCUGAUAUCGUAGGACAACGUUUUUUUCACCAAAUUGUAGGUAUCAUUUUCAUUUUCAUCAUUGUAGGUAUCAUAUCGUGUCGAUCAUUUUCGUAUAUUAUUUAUGGGUUUAACCUUCGGGAAACCUACAAAAUUAAAAUAAAAGUACGGUAGUUUGAUUGCUUCAAAUCACAUACUUUCUGUUAUUGCGUUGCUGUUUUCAACUUACGAACAUAGAUUGUCGCCUCUCUAACUGUGGGUCGGUUAUCAAUUGUCGUUCUUGUUUAGUCUGGCCUAGUCGUUCGUGCGCCGUAGUGUGAUGUACACGUGUUUUGUUCAUCAAAAUUCUUGACAAUUGUUUGCGUUACUAAAGAUUUUAAUUCUGUAAUUGAACUAGAAUAGAACGACAUUUAGUAAUAAUAGACCAGUAGGGUGGUUGUUUGUAGGACGUGCGUGGUGGCCGUCGGAUAGGUAUGUUCGCGUGGCUAAGAAUAUUUAUUGUUCAAGUAUUAAAUUUAUUUGAUUUCUCGCUGCUGUAUUUAUCAAUCGUGGAUUCAGUUUUGUUUCACCUGUGCGCGCGUGUCCGUUGGCAAUCAGUUAUCGUUUCGCGCAUAAGAAUAACUUUGAUGCCCAGACAAAAAUUUUGUGAGUGCACGCAUGGAGUUUGCAAUAUCUAUAGCUGAAGUGUUGGAGAUGCGAGUAUUUUAAGGCAAGUUUUUCUACUUCCGAGUUUACUAGCUGUCGAUAUUUUUUUUUAUUUAAAAAAAUGUAUCUAUUAUUAUUGUUGUCAAUAAAACAUAAUGUGAAAUUAUAA
Long non-coding RNA from Dalotia coriaria, 1599 nucleotides. RefSeq lists it as uncharacterized. The record is from RefSeq and is a predicted model, not a curated record. The transcript has 4 exons. NCBI's taxonomy places the organism in Eukaryota, Metazoa, Arthropoda, Insecta, Coleoptera, Staphylinidae.